AAUGCGCGAAAGCGUGACGGAGCAAUGCCGCGUGCAGGAUGAAGCUUCUCGGAGUGUAAACUGCUGUCAGGGGCCAGCAACACAAUGAGCAACCCCAAAGGAAGGGCCGGCUAACUUCGUGCCAGCAGCCGCGGUAAUACGAAGGGCCCGAGCGUUAUUCGGAAUCACUGGGCUUAAAGCGUACGCAGGCGGACGCGCAGGCAUUGUGUGAAAUCCCUCCGCUCAACGGAGGAACUGCAUAGUGAACCGCGUGUCUUGAGACAGGUAGGGGCCAUCGGAACGAUAGGUGGAGCGGUGAAAUGCGUAGAUAUCUAUCGGAACGCCAAAGGAGAAAUCAGGUGGCUGGGCCUGUUCUGACGCUCAUGUACGAAAGCGUGGGGAGCGAACGGGAUU
RNAcentral lists this ribosomal RNA (393 nucleotides) under uncultured Gammaproteobacteria bacterium. RNAcentral's name for it is "bacterial SSU rRNA". It matches the Rfam family "Bacterial small subunit ribosomal RNA", at positions 370 to 779 of the family's 1533-position model. Lineage: Bacteria; Pseudomonadati; Pseudomonadota; Gammaproteobacteria. The record is from RNAcentral.